UACAGAGGUGGCAAGCGUUGUUCGGAAUCAUUGGGCGUAAAGGGUCCGUAGGCGGCAUGGAAAGUCGGAUGUGAAAUCCUACAGCUUAACUGUAGAACUGCAUUCGAAACUUCCAAGCUAGAGUGUGAGAGGGGUGAAGGGAAUUCCCGGUGUAAGGGUGAAAUCUGCAGAGAUCGGGAGGAACACCAGUCGCGAAGGCGCUUCACUGGCUCACUACUGACGCUCAGGGACGAAAGCUAGGGUAGCCAACGGG
Molecule: unclassified non-coding RNA, 253 nt
Filed under: uncultured bacterium
Lineage: Bacteria
Description: contains 16S-23S intergenic spacer region
Rfam family: Bacterial small subunit ribosomal RNA
Source: RNAcentral